This 755-nucleotide ribosomal RNA is filed under the name uncultured bacterium. RNAcentral describes it as "bacterial SSU rRNA". It matches the Rfam family "Bacterial small subunit ribosomal RNA", at positions 8 to 746 of the family's 1533-position model. The record is from RNAcentral.
AGAGUUUGAUCAUGGCUCAGGACGAACGCUGGCGGCGUGCCUAAUACAUGCAAGUCGAGCGAAUCUUGAGGUGCUUGCACCUCUUGAUUAGCGGCGGACGGGUGAGUAACACGUGGGCAACCUGCCUGUAAGACUGGGAUAACACCGGGAAACCGGUGCUAAUACCGGAUAAUCCUUUUCCUCUCAUGUGGAAAAGCUGAAAGUCGGUUUACGCUGACACUUACAGAUGGGCCCGCGGCGCAUUAGCUAGUUGGUGAGGUAACGGCUCACCAAGGCGACGAUGCGUAGCCGACCUGAGAGGGUGAUCGGCCACACUGGGACUGAGACACGGCCCAGACUCCUACGGGAGGCAGCAGUAGGGAAUCUUCCGCAAUGGACGAAAGUCUGACGGAGCAACGCCGCGUGAGCGAUGAAGGCCUUCGGGUCGUAAAGCUCUGUUGUUAGGGAAGAACAAGUACCGGAGUAACUGCCGGUACCUUGACGGUACCUAACCAGAAAGCCACGGCUAACUACGUGCCAGCAGCCGCGGUAAUACGUAGGUGGCAAGCGUUGUCCGGAAUUAUUGGGCGUAAAGCGCGCGCAGGCGGUCCUUUAAGUCUGAUGUGAAAGCCCACGGCUCAACCGUGGAGGGUCAUUGGAAACUGGGGGACUUGAGUACAGAAGAGGAAAGCGGAAUUCCACGUGUAGCGGUGAAAUGCGUAGAGAUGUGGAGGAACACCAGUGGCGAAGGCGGCUUUCUGGUCUGUAACUGACGC